CAAGAAAUAGUUUAAUUAAAAUAUUAGCUUUGGGAGUUAAUGAUAAGGAAGUUUCUUUUUUCUUGA
Molecule: transfer RNA, 66 nt
Filed under: Coquillettidia linealis
Lineage: Eukaryota; Metazoa; Arthropoda; Insecta; Diptera; Culicidae
Description: tRNA-Pro
Rfam family: tRNA
About the family: Transfer RNA (tRNA) molecules are approximately 80 nucleotides in length. Their secondary structure includes four short double-helical elements and three loops (D, anti-codon, and T loops). Further hydrogen bonds mediate the characteristic L-shaped molecular structure. tRNAs have two regions of fundamental functional importance: the anti-codon, which is responsible for specific mRNA codon recognition, and the 3' end, to which the tRNAs corresponding amino acid is attached (by aminoacyl-tRNA synthetases). tRNAs cope with the degeneracy of the genetic code in two manners: having more than one tRNA (with a specific anti-codon) for a particular amino acid; and 'wobble' base-pairing, i.e. permitting non-standard base-pairing at the 3rd anti-codon position.
Source: RNAcentral